Molecule: long non-coding RNA, 916 nt
Organism: Electrophorus electricus (electric eel)
Lineage: Eukaryota; Metazoa; Chordata; Actinopteri; Gymnotiformes; Gymnotidae
Source: RefSeq, a predicted model, not a curated record
ACUAUAUUCAUUUUUCGUUUUUAGCCAUUGAGUUCCAUUCAUACCCAUUCAUUGAGGACGCGCUCAUGGGCGCCCUCUGGCGUUUUGAAAUCAUUUUUUCGACGUAAUGGGAGGAAUAUGAAAUGGACAGGCUCCUCAUAAACAGGCUCUGGUGUAAACGCCUUGACAUUCGGAAGUACCGAAAAUCCACGAGCAUACUAAAUUCACCCGGCUGCCAGUGUGUAGUGUUUAAAGGACACGCAUAUCACCACCUCUGUCUGUUCUUUCCGUCAGACCAUCUCGACAAAAGUUCCUCUUUAGUGAUCAGCAAGUUACCUUCUAUCCAGCUCCAUGAUGCUUGGCUGUGUCAUAGGUAUGGAAUCUAUGACCUCCAUUCCGGGCCAUAAUGAUGCUUGUGUAUCUACCACGAUUAAUUUUUCCAGUACACGAAAGAUAUCCGACUAUACUAUUCCCGCCAAAUUCUCCAGUACUGCGUCCCGUCAUUCGACGGUAGCUGAAAAUCUGUCAAGUAGGUGGAACCUUCAUACAUUCAUGUGACCCCAUAGUAUGGUUUGCAUUUGUUGCAUACUGGAUAAUAUACUGCAUACUACUAUGGGGACCGAUUUACUGUAUAUACUGAGUGCAGCAUACAGUAUACAGUAUGUAACAGGUUGUUCUGAACGUAGCCUACUUUUUCAUCUACCUAAAUGUCUACAUUAGCCUAUGCAAAACAUCAUUGUUGUGUGUUGAUGAAGGAGUACUGUCAACACGUCUAUGUAAACAUCUGUCGUGUUGCCUCCAUGAUGUCUGCGUGUCAUGUACGUUUAGAUAUAACAAUGUAUUAUGGAACAGUAACUUUAUUAUAAAUAUUCAAAUGAAGUUUUAAUACUUGUUUUGUAUGGUAAAUUGAUUAUGGAAUAAAAUUUGUUACAUUUGC